CAGCCGCCGCGGUAAUACCGGCGGCCCGAGUGGCGGUCACUAUUAUUGGGCUUAAAACGUCCGUAGCCGGGUUGGGAAGUCCUCCGGGAAAUCUGGCCGCUUAACGGUCAGAAUGCCGGAGGAUACUCCCAGCCUAGGGGGCGGGAGAGGCCGAGGGGAUUCCCGGAGUAGGGGGGAAAUCCUAUAAUCCCGGGAGGACCACCUGUGGCGAAGGCGCUCGGCUGGAACGCGUCCGACGGUGAGGGACGAAGGCCAGGGGAGCAAACCGGAUUAGAUACCCGGGUAGUCCUGGCUGUAAACGAUGCGGACUUUGUGUCGGACAAGCUAUGAGCUUGUCCGGUGCCGGAGGGAAACCGUUAAGUCCGCCGCCUGGGGAGUACGGCCGCAAGGCUGAAACUUAAACGAAUUGGCGGG
RNAcentral lists this ribosomal RNA (414 nucleotides) under uncultured microorganism. Its description in RNAcentral is "bacterial SSU rRNA". It matches the Rfam family "Archaeal small subunit ribosomal RNA", at positions 459 to 872 of the family's 1478-position model. The record is from RNAcentral.